Molecule: ribosomal RNA, 403 nt
Filed under: Fusobacteriota bacterium
Lineage: Bacteria; Fusobacteriati; Fusobacteriota
Description: Fusobacteria bacterium partial 16S ribosomal RNA
Rfam family: Bacterial small subunit ribosomal RNA
Source: RNAcentral
UGGGGAAUAUUGCACAAUGGGGGAAACCCUGAUGCAGCGACGCCGCGUGAGCGAAGAAGGUUUUCGAAUCGUAAAGCUCUGUCCUAUGGGAAGAUAAUGACGGUACCAUAGGAGGAAGCCCCGGCUAACUACGUGCCAGCAGCCGCGGUAAUACGUAGGGGGCAAGCGUUGUCCGGAAUCACUGGGCGUAAAGGGUUCGUAGGCGGAAAUGCAAGUCAGUUGUGAAAGGCAGGGGCUCAACCUCUGUAAGCAAUUGAAACUGGAUUUCUUGAGAUGUGGAGAGGGAAGGGGAAUUCCUAGUGUAGCGGUGGAAUGCGUAGAUAUUAGGAAGAAUACCGGUGGCGAAGGCGACUUGCUGGACACAAACUGCCGCUGAGGAACGAAAGCGUGGGUAGCAAACAGG